AGACCCGAAACCCGGUGAUCUAGCCAUGGGCAGGUUGAAGGUUGGGUAACACUAACUGGAGGACCGAACCGACUAAUGUUGAAAAAUUAGCGGAUGACCUGUGGCUGGGGGUGAAAGGCCAAUCAAACCGGGAGAUAGCUGGUUCUCCCCGAAAGCUAUUUAGGUAGCGCCUCGUGAAUUCAUCUCCGGGGGUAGAGCACUGUUUCGGCUAGGGGGCCAUCCCGGCUUACCAACCCGAUGCAAACUGCGAAUACCGGAGAAUGUUAUCACGGGAGACACACGGCGGGUGCUAACGUCCGUCGUGAAGAGGGAAACAACCCAGACCGCCAGCUAAGGUCCCAAAGUCAUGGUUAAGUGGGAAACGAUGUGGGAAGGCCCAGACAGCCAGGAUGUUGGCUUAGAAGCAGCCAUCAUUUAAAGAAAGCGUAAUAGCUCACUGGUCGAGUCGGCCUGCGCGGAAGAUGUAACGGGGCUAAACCAUGCACCGAAGCUGCGGCAGCGAACGUAUCACUUAAAGCGAUUCAGCGGGUUACGAUUGACGGAGCGAAGCGACGUCAAAGCGUAUACAAAGUCGAGUCGGUUUAAGGAUACGUUCGUUGGGUAGGGGAGCGUUCUGUAAGCCUGCGAAGGUGGCCUGUGAGGGUUGCUGGAGGUAUCAGAAGUGCGAAUGCUGACAUAAGUAACGAUAAAGCGGGUGAAAAGCCCGCUCGCCGGAAGACCAAGGGUUCCUGUCCAACG
This 738-nucleotide ribosomal RNA is filed under the name Salmonella enterica subsp. enterica serovar Infantis. RNAcentral describes it as "partial 23S ribosomal RNA". It matches the Rfam family "Bacterial large subunit ribosomal RNA", at positions 711 to 1364 of the family's 2925-position model. Lineage: Bacteria; Pseudomonadati; Pseudomonadota; Gammaproteobacteria; Enterobacterales; Enterobacteriaceae. The record is from RNAcentral. RNAcentral also lists the same sequence under 1 other name.